GUGUGAAAAAUUACCCUGCUGAAACUACACUAAUCGCAGCAUGCAGUAUAUAUACUUGCAAGCACAGUAUGCAAAGUCUGACCCUGCCAGACUCAGCCAAGCCUGUUAUGGGAGGAGGAGUGACUCUCGGAGCCAUGCCAGACCUGACCGUGCCUUGCUAUGGGGUGAAAUCACUGGAGAGACAAUCAACUUGGGGCCCUAGCAUGGCCAGAAGAGGAGUCUGGACCAUUGCCAGCAGUGAAAACAAGAGGUCCAGGGAUGCAUGUGAGUCUCUAGUAACGAGACCUGAGUGGGAUAUAAGGAAUUCCGUGUGGGUCGGAGAAGGGAGGCAAGUGGAUGAGCUGUGCAAGAGGGCAGCACACCUUGGGACAUGCAGUGUGAGCGGCAUUGCUGGAGACCUUGGCAAUCUCACCUCUGAGGGAACUCUGUAGCAGCAGGGGACCGAAGCUGAGGAUAGGGGCAAUGCUGCUUUCUAAAGGACUUGGCCAGCUGCGGAAAAUCCACCAAACCUGCUGUCUGACCCCAUUCAGAUCACACGCUGGAGCGGACACGGGACUGAUAUGACCGUACAUCUCCCCGAGAGCGCGCUGGUUACCAUGCCCUCCGAGCAGUGCCUGGGGCCUUCGCUUCAUUGCAUUAGCGAUCCAGGAAUACCAGGAAUACAAGCACUGGCACAGACUCACUCCCACAUGGAAGCAGUUAACUUGGCAGUCUCAGCGGAGGAAAGCCAGGCAUUGUAAUAGAUCUAGCUGCAGCAUCAGAGCCCUGACUGCACCGAAGCCUCUGCAACACCCCCACCCCAGGGGCUUGGCUGCCUGGGUUCAAGGCGAGCUCUAAUAUGACACAGCUGUGUAACCUUGGAUCAGCUUGCUGGGAAAAAUAGAUAAGCUGCGAGGAAGAGCUCCUGCCCUUUGCUUGAGGAGCUGCAGUGAGGUUUGAGUGCUUGCCCUUGGUUUGUGCCUGAGCUCUGCUGCAGGUAUACCUGUGACUGGACAUGUAUCUUGCUGAUCUUCCUUCUCUGACUUCUUGGACUGAGCAUGGACUUGUCUGGUGAUCCCUGGGCCGCAGCUGACCCUGGAAACCUGUUCCAGGUUUGCUCUGAUCUUCUCAUUUGGAAUUGCACUCCCUGUCUGUAAGGAUGCUGUCCUGGUGGCCCCCUCUUAUCUGUGGGCAGAAGGUUGGGUAUAUCUUUCCCUGUGGGUGGGUGUGGGGGUUGCUGACCUGUGAGCAGUGCCCUGCCUGCAUGGGAGGAGGUGGGGGAAGAGAGGCCAUGGGCUUAUCUCCUGCGUUAGGUUUUCCUGGUUGAGCUUUGCAUGAGUGUCCCUUAGCAACCAAAUUGGUUCCUAAGUGUGUGUAUAUUCUGAUUUCCUGCACUAAAACUCUCUAGAAGAGGUCUGUUUCUGGGAGAGUGUCCGUUACAGCCAGGUGACUGAGCUGGGCUCUUGUGUUCUAACUGGAGGUGUGUUUAGUGGGACAAGGUCUCCAGGAUGUGCCUCUGAGAGAGGGGGGAGCCAGCCCCCACGAGGAGCCCUGUAAAAUGCCCUGGUGCACGUGGGCUGAGGUGUGCAGGACUGACCCCAACCCAGGGGACCUGAGGCCCUAAAGCAUGCAGGUAACCUCACAAUGCAGUGGCUGAGUUGUGUCCAAGGAACAUUUGUGCUUGGAACAUCUUGCUCUGGCAGGUUGCUGCGGUGUGUAUGUGUGCCUCGUGCCAACAGCCUUACAAUAACGUUUCUGUACAUGAUGGCCUCUGAGGAUUGCUCCUCUAUAGGUAACGCUCAGUCAUCAAUCAAUGAUGUCCCUUUAAAAACCCCUGUGGUUUUGCUGCCCUGGAUAAUAGCCUGUUUCCCUAAACCGUGUGAAUCCCCUGUGUCACAGGGGAAUCUUUGACCUUUCUACACUGUGUCACUUUGUAAAAAAACAAACAAAAAUCUCAAAUAGCUGGGCAGAUGGGGUUCCUUUGAACCCUGUGAUUUGAAAAGUACAGAACUCCCCAGCCCAAAAGUGUUUUAGAAAAACUAAAUGGAUUUAGGCUUAUCAUUUCAACCUCUGAGAAUGUAUUCAGCACAGAAAUGAACAAUUGUCGUGAUUCCUUGCAAGGCAAUCCCAGGGCUGCUGUAACAUUGUCACCUCUGUGAUGCUGCGUGACAUUAACAUCUUGCCAACAGUGCAAACCGCACUGACACUGUGGCUUUUGUUAUAGUCAAGGGGAAACAAGCCACAGCAAUCUCACCAGUUGACUCCUGGCACCUUGCGCUUUCAGAGCAAUGCUGAGGUCAGGUUAGUGUUAAAGUUUUCUGAAACCCUGGGAGAGAUUUUCACCAGCUUGAGGGAGGAAAAGGCUUUGGAUUAAGCUCAUCUAGUGCACCUGUGGGGAAGCACAAAUGCCUCUAGGCACUGCAUUUCUUACUUGUUUAUCUGAGCCUUGCAUUUACUCACCCCUGUUUGCUUAGGUAAAUGUAGCUGUGCCCAGAGGAAGCAUUCUUUGGAAACCUUGUGAGGUGCUGACAACUAAUUAUUUGUCCUUCAUCAAUAGAUAUUCUUAGACUGAUUCCAGAAUUAUCCAAUUCACUAAUUAAUGUGCUGUGCUUUGCUGGGCAUACAGCAGAGAGCACUUGGGUGCUUGGAGAACUGCUUUUGGCCUCUCUUUCACCACUUUCCUCUAAGGGACUCGCCAGCUUGGUGCUUUGUGCUUUGCUGAAGUUGUCCCAGAGCGCUCAGCCCUUCCAAGGUGGUGAUUUUUAACGGUUUCCACCAAGAGAAGUAGCUCUCCUUUCUCCUGGUUGUAUUUUUUUUUUUUUUUUUUGCUGCCUCUUCUGCCUUCUCCUGGUGGUGGCUGCUGUUUGGGUACCUGAUGUGGUCUGGCUGGUGAAAAUCUUUGGAGCAGGGCCCCUUAAAUAGCUGCUGCUGCUGAGGAGCAACGUACCCAUCAGGACCUGAAAGAUGUGCCUGGCGCAAGCAGCAGAGAGAUACAUCAGUGUAAAUCUGAACAGCUUCAGGAGGUGCUGUCACCAGGGGCUGUUUGAAAUAAAAUACUUGUCUAUAGACAGGGAUUUCUUCUGUUUGUUUCAAUUUUAGGGGUUGAGGAAAUACAAAGAGCCUUCAGUCUCCUCACCAGUACAGUUCAGCUUAUCCAGGCCAGGAGACUGUUGCAUUUUAUACUCAGUGUUUUUCUGAAUCAAAUUGUACACUUACCAGAAAAUGGACCUUGCUGUUCGAUGUAUGUUAAAGUGCCAUGUACAUUCAUUGUGCUGUAUAAAUAAAGUAUAAUAAUGCUGAGA
Grus americana (Whooping crane) is the source of this 3281-nucleotide long non-coding RNA. RefSeq lists it as uncharacterized. The transcript has 5 exons. Lineage: Eukaryota; Metazoa; Chordata; Aves; Gruiformes; Gruidae. The record is from RefSeq and is a predicted model, not a curated record.